RNAcentral lists this ribosomal RNA (465 nucleotides) under uncultured bacterium. RNAcentral describes it as "partial 16S ribosomal RNA". It matches the Rfam family "Bacterial small subunit ribosomal RNA", at positions 29 to 505 of the family's 1533-position model. The record is from RNAcentral.
ACGAACGCUGGCGGCGUGCUUAACACCUGCAAGUCGAACGGAAAGGCCCUGCUUUUGUGGGGUGCUCGAGUGGCGAACGGGUGAGUAACACGUGAGUAACCUGCCCUUGACUUUGGGAUAACUUCAGGAAACUGGGGCUAAUACCGGAUAGGAGCUCCUGCUGCCUGGUGGGGGUUGGAAAGUUUCGGCGGUUGGGGAUGGACUCGCGGCUUAUCAGCUUGUUGGUGGGGUAGUGGCUUACCAAGGCUUUGACGGGUAGCCGGCCUGAGAGGGUGACCGGCCACAUUGGGACUGAGAUACGGCCCAGACUCCUACGGGAGGCGGCAGUGGGGAAUAUUGCACAAUGGGCGGAAGCCUGAUGCAGCAACGCCGCGUGCGGGAUGACGGCCUUCGGGUUGUAAACCGCUUUCGCCUGUGACGAAGCGUGAGUGACGGUAAUGGGUAAAGAAGCACCGGCUAACUACG